CGCAGGUGUGUCUUUUGAAAGAAGGCUGUCAUAUGUCAAUGGUCAUACCUCAUGUUUGUUUAGCACUCGGCUGAGGGACGAGAGGCUGGGUUUGGCUUCCAACACACUGCAUGCUCUGACCAAAGCUGUUAUUGUGGCCUUCAUCCACAAUUGGCAACUCACCCUCCUCAUCAUGGCAUGUGUGCACUUACCUCUCUGAGGCCUACUUCACUGAAAUGAGGGCAGCGGGGACACUACUGUGAGGACCAGGAGGUUGGAAAGAGCAGAUGUCCGUCUGCACUGUGAGCUGCCAAGUGGGUCCGGAGCGGGGCAGCCACAGACACAAGGGCCCAAAUGGUGUGACAAAAGAUGUGCAGGAAGCCCCUCUCCGCCUGGGUGAGCCACAGCGAGGGUCUCCCCUCUCUGCCAGCCUGCAUGGACACUCACAACAUGAGCCAGAGUGGUGGCAGCAAAGCCAUGUGUUGCCGGCUGGGAUGCAUGGUACACCAACACUCAUAUUCAUGCAAACAUAAAUACACAUGCAUAAUGUAGGAAUGUGCGAACAUAGGCCAAUCCCAUCCUCCGCUGCCAUUAGUGCACACUCACACCUGCACAUUGCACUCAGCCGAAAGCAUACACACAUUCAUGCUUUUUUUAAAUCCUUCAUAUAGAUAGCCAGUCAGCUAUUUUCAACGGCCACUUUUAUUUUUCAAAUGAGCUGCUGACAAUGAUGCAAAAUUUGGUGACAUGAAUGUUAAUGAUGUAAAUAUAGCAGAAAAACAGUAAACAAACAUAAAUAACCAUAUCUAUCCAUCUAUCUAUGUCAGUAUCGUAUCUAACUUGGAGACAGUUUGCCAUUUUUCCUUUUGAGGUCAUGAAAUGUAGGUGAAGAGGCCCUGAAAAUGUUCCAAGGACAGGUGUGCAGCAUGGCCUGUACUGAACGGAUGCA
This is a long non-coding RNA of Perca fluviatilis (European perch), 928 nucleotides long. RefSeq lists it as uncharacterized. The transcript has 3 exons. The record is from RefSeq and is a predicted model, not a curated record. NCBI's taxonomy places the organism in Eukaryota, Metazoa, Chordata, Actinopteri, Perciformes, Percidae.